GCCGGAGUGGCGGAGUUGGCAGACGCAGGGGACUUAAAAUCCCCUUGGGUUAUCCCAGCGCGGGUUCGAAUCCCGCCUCCGGUA
Molecule: transfer RNA, 84 nt
Filed under: Myxococcales bacterium
Lineage: Bacteria; Pseudomonadati; Myxococcota; Myxococcia; Myxococcales
Description: tRNA-Leu
Rfam family: tRNA
About the family: Transfer RNA (tRNA) molecules are approximately 80 nucleotides in length. Their secondary structure includes four short double-helical elements and three loops (D, anti-codon, and T loops). Further hydrogen bonds mediate the characteristic L-shaped molecular structure. tRNAs have two regions of fundamental functional importance: the anti-codon, which is responsible for specific mRNA codon recognition, and the 3' end, to which the tRNAs corresponding amino acid is attached (by aminoacyl-tRNA synthetases). tRNAs cope with the degeneracy of the genetic code in two manners: having more than one tRNA (with a specific anti-codon) for a particular amino acid; and 'wobble' base-pairing, i.e. permitting non-standard base-pairing at the 3rd anti-codon position.
Source: RNAcentral